AACCAGUUUACUGGGGAGACUAAGUGGCGAACGGGUGAGUAAAACAUUGGAACAUGCCCUAUAGUCUGGGAUAACAGUUGGAAACGGCUGCUAAUACCGGAUACACCCUACGGGGGAAAGAUUUAUUGCUAUAGGAUUGGUCAAUGGCCUAUCAGUUAGUUGGUGAGGUAAGGGCUCACCAAGACAAUGACGGGUAACUGGUCUGAGAGGAUGAUCAGUCACACUGGAACUGAGACACGGUCCAGACUCCUACGGGAGGCAGCAGUGGGGAAUAUUGCACAACGGGGGAAACCCUGAUGCAGCAACGCCGCGUGGAGGAUGAAGCAUUUAGGUGUGUAAACUCCUUUUAUAAUGGAAGAUAAUGACGGUACAUUAUGAAUAAGCACCGGCUAACUCCGUGCCAGCAGCCGCGGUAAUACGGGGGGUGCAAGCGUUACUCGGAAUCACUGGGCGUAAAGAGAGUGUAGGCGUCUUAUUAAGUCAGAUGUGAAAUGCUAUGGCUCAACCAUAGAACUGCAUUUGAAACUGGUAAGAUAGAGUACAGAAGGGGUAGGUGGAAUUAGUGGUGUAGGGGUAAAAUCCGUAGAGAUCACUAGGAAUAUCCAAAGCGAAGGCGACCUACUGGGAUGGUACUGACGCUGAGACUCGAAAGCGUGGGGAGCAAACAGGAUUAGAUACCCUGGUAGUCCACGCCCUAAACGAUGAAUGCUAGUUGUUGCAAAGCUUGACUUUGCAGUAAUACAGUUAACACAUUAAGCAUUCCGCCUGGGGAGUACGGUCGCAAGAUUAAAACUCAAAGGAAUAGACGGGGACCCGCACAAGCGGUGGAGCAUGUGGUUUAAUUCGAAAAUACGCGAAGAACCUUACCUAGCCUUGACAUCCUUGGAACCCUUAAGAGAUUAGGGGGUGCUAGCUUGCUAGAGCCAAGAGACAGGUGCUGCACGGCUGUCGUCAGCUCGUGUCGUGAGAUGUUGGGUUAAGUCCCGCAACGAGCGCAACCCACGUCCUUAGUUGCCAGCAUGUAAAGAUGGGAACUCUAAGGAGACUGCCUUCGCAAGGAGGAGGAAGGUGUGGACGACGUCAAGUCAUCAUGGCCCUUAUGGCUAGGGCUACACACGUGCUACAAUGGGGUGUACAGAGAGAAGCGAUACCGCGAGGUGGAGCAAAUCUCAAAAGCACUUCUUAGUUCAGAUUGUAGUCUGCAACUCGACUACAUGAAGUUGGAAUCGCUAGUAAUCGUAAAUCAGCAAUGUUACGGUGAAUACGUUCCCGGGUCUUGUACUCACCGCCCGUCACACCAUGGGAGUUGAAUUCGCCUUAAGCCGGAAUACUAAAUUAGUUACUGUCCACGGCGGAUUCAGCGACUGGGGUGAAGUCGUAACAAGGUA
This 1388-nucleotide ribosomal RNA is filed under the name metagenome. Its description in RNAcentral is "bacterial SSU rRNA". It matches the Rfam family "Bacterial small subunit ribosomal RNA". The record is from RNAcentral.